This 1128-nucleotide ribosomal RNA is filed under the name uncultured Nitrososphaerota archaeon. RNAcentral describes it as "bacterial SSU rRNA". It matches the Rfam family "Archaeal small subunit ribosomal RNA", at positions 1 to 1063 of the family's 1478-position model. The record is from RNAcentral. Lineage: Archaea; Thermoproteati; Nitrososphaerota.
UUCGCCCUUUUCCGGUUGAUCCUGCCGGACCCGACUGCUAUCGGAUUGAGAUUUAGCAUGCGAGUCGAACGUCCCCCUGUUGCGGGGGGCGUGGCAUACGGCUCAGUAACACGUAGUCAACCUGCCCUAAAGACGCGGACAACCCCGGGAAACUGGGAUUAAUCCGUGAUAGGCCAUCCCAUCUGGAAGGAGGGAUGGCUUAAAGGGGUGCGCGGGCUUCUUCUGCGCAUUCGCUCUAGGAUGGGACUGCGUCCGAUCAGGCUGUUGGCGGGGUAAUGGCCCACCAAACCUGUAACCGGUACGGGCCUUGAGAGAGGUGGCCCGGAGAUGGACACUGAGAGAAGGGUCCAGGUCCUACGGGGCGCAGCAGGCGCGAAACCUUCGCGAUGCGCGAAAGCGUGACGAGGUUAACCCGAGUGGUCCCCGCUGAGGGGAUCUUUUGUUGGCUGUAAAAAGGCCGGUGAAUAAGGGGAGGGCAAGUCUGGUGUCAGCCGCCGCGGUAAUACCAGCUCCUCGAGUGGUCGGGGCGAUUAUUGGGCCUAAAGCAUCCGUAGCCGGUUCCGUAGGUCUUCUGUAAAAUCCAGCCGCUCAACGGUUGGCCCGCAGAAGAUACCGCGGGACUAGGAGGCGGGAGAGGUGGACGGUACUCCGCGUGCAGGGGUAAAAUCCUUUGAUCCGCGGAAGACCACCAGUGGCGAAGGCGGUCCACCAGAACGCGCUCGACGGUGAGGGAUGAAAGCUGGGGGAGCGAACCGGAUUAGAUACCCGGGUAGUCCCAGCCGUAAACGAUGCUAGCUAGAUGAUUCAGUCGCAAAUCGCGAUUGAAGUGUCGCAGGGAAGCCGUUAAGCUAGCCGCCUGGGGGGUACGGUCGCAAGACUGAAACUGGAAGCCGAGUUUAUCUCGACUUCCGGCAGUACACUUAAGGGAAUUGGCGGGGGAGCACCACAAGGGGUGAAGCCUGCGGUUCAAUUGGAGUCAACGCCAGGAAACUUACCAGGAGAGACAGCAGGUUGAGGGUCAAGCUGAAGACUUUACCUGACGAGCUGAGAGGAGGUGCCUGGCCGUCGCCAGCUCGUGCCGUGAGGCGUCCUGUUAAGUCAGGCAACGAGCGAGACCCAAAGGGCGAA